RNAcentral lists this transfer RNA (71 nucleotides) under Bradypodion occidentale. Its description in RNAcentral is "tRNA-Cys". The record is from RNAcentral. Lineage: Eukaryota; Metazoa; Chordata; Lepidosauria; Squamata; Chamaeleonidae.
AAGUCCAGGGUCUGUAACGACCUUUUAUUCGAAUUUGCACUUCGGGCUUUCUGGGCUUUCGGGAAUGGGGA